UACGCAGGGGGCUAGCGUUGUUCGGAAUUACUGGGCGUAAAGCGCGCGCAGGCGGUUCUUUAAGUCAGGGGUGAAAGCCCAGAGCUCAACUCUGGAACUGCCCUUGAAACUAGAGAACUUGGGUACGGGAGAGGUGAGUGGAAUUCCGAGUGUAGAGGUGAAAUUCGUAGAUAUUCGGAAGAGCACCAGUGGCGAAGGCGGCUCACUGGCCCGUUACCGACGCUCAGGCGCGACAGCGUGGGGAGCAAACAGG
Molecule: ribosomal RNA, 253 nt
Filed under: uncultured bacterium
Lineage: Bacteria
Description: partial 16S ribosomal RNA
Rfam family: Bacterial small subunit ribosomal RNA
Source: RNAcentral